This 253-nucleotide ribosomal RNA is filed under the name uncultured bacterium. RNAcentral describes it as "partial 16S ribosomal RNA". It matches the Rfam family "Bacterial small subunit ribosomal RNA", at positions 524 to 776 of the family's 1533-position model. The record is from RNAcentral.
UACGUAGGGUGCGAGCGUUGGCCGGAAUUACUGGGCGUAAAGAGCUCGUAGGUGGCUUGUCGCGUUGUUCGUGAAAUCUCACGGCUUAACUGUGAGCGUGCGGGCGAUACGGGCAGACUAGAGUACUGCAGGGGAGACUGGAAGUCCUGGUGUAGCGGUGGAAUGCGCAGAUAUCAGGAGGAACACCGGUGGCGAAGGCGGGUCUCUGGGCAGUAACUGACGCUGAGGAGCGAAAGCGUGGGGAGCGAACAGG